Molecule: RNA transcript, 4711 nt
Organism: Zalophus californianus (California sea lion)
Lineage: Eukaryota; Metazoa; Chordata; Mammalia; Carnivora; Otariidae
Gene name: keratin-associated protein 10-9-like
Exons: 4
Source: RefSeq, a predicted model, not a curated record
CCCACCUCCCGCCUCUCACCGGUGUCUCUUCCACCGACCUCACAAUGUACAGAGCACGGCGCUGUGGUCCUGGCUUUGUUUGGGCGACAUACAUAAAAUCUAAAUUCGUAAAGGAAUCAGUUCAUUGAUUGGAAAAGUAUCCGUAGACCGGAUUUCCAAAGUGAGAAUCCUGAUGACCAGUGCCAAGUACAGGCACAGUGUCGUUUGAUUGUGACACGCCCGCCAGUCGAAAUAGUAACUGACUUCCAGUUUCUUCAUUCAGCCGCAUGAUAAAAAGGGAUCACUGGAAAGACCCAAAGUGCAAUCUCUAUACUGAACACGGGACAUGAACUCACAGUCCACGACCUGGAGAUCAAGACUUGCAUGUCCUUUUGACUAAGCCAGCCAGGUGCCCCCAAAAGAAAAAUUUUUGAGUGAGUUUUGAAUAUGAGGUCAGAAUUUCAGCUUUUGACAUCGCACAUCACCAAUCUCAGGAAGUUCUGUCUUCUGUGGUAAUAUGUUUAUGCACACACAACAUGUGUUCCUGUAACAGAGCUGUCAGAAAAUUUUGCGUAAAUGUAAACAUAAUACAGGAGAUACAGGAUUUAAUUCAUGGACAUUAGGAAAAAGCAGGAGGCUUAUGAAAGAUGAAUGAAAAUAAUAGCAUAUAUGAAAAAAACACUAUAAAAAUUUUGAGAUAGAGGGAAAGCUUAGGACUAGCUCAAUGGAAAAUGGCCAGACUUGAGUUCAGGAAAGGGAAGGAGACCGUCUGGGUACAUAGCUUUCCUAGUGCACGAAGAAGCUUGGUCCAUAAACUGUAUCACAUUUCCCAGGCUCCGUAGCUCUUGGGGAUAGGCUUCCGGCAGCAGUAAGAGAACAAUUCUAGUCUGCCUCUUGGGAAGUUACAUCCAUUAUUAAAGGUUUUAGCCUAGUAGAGUAUCUCAGGCUGCACGCAGCAGACAUAAACUGGUUAACUUCAGGAAACGGGGGAAGUUCCUGGGUCGGGAAGAGAAGAAGCCACAGGGACAACUCUGGGGACUUGGGCACUAGGAGCCCUUACCUGUGUCUCCAGGAUCCUGCCGGCCGUGUGUUGUGGUUCCAGUGACAGUCUCUGCGUCUCCAGGAUCCUGCCGGCCGUGUGUUGUGGUUCCAGUGACAGUCUCUGCGUCUCCAGGAUCCUGCCGGCCGUGUGUUGUGGUUCCAGUGACAGUCUCUGCGUCUCCAGGAUCCUGCCGGCCGUGUGUUGUGGUUCCAGUGACAGUCUCUGCGUCUCCAGGAUCCUGCCGGCCGUGUGUUGUGGUUCCAGUGACAGUCUCUGCGUCCCCAGGAUCCUGCCGGCCGUGUGUUGUGGUUCCAGUGACAGUCUCUGCGUCUCCAGGAUCCUGCCGGCCGUGUGUUGUGGUUCCAGUGACAGUCUCUGUGUCUCCAGGAUCCUGCCGGCCGUGUGUUGUGGUUCCAGUGACAGUCUCUGUGUCCCUAUGAGGGCUCCUUCAUGCAGUCAGAAAUAUAGCAAGAUCAGGAAACACCAGCACCCGUACAGGUUGGAGGUGUCCUCACUCUGAAGGUAACUGAGAUUCCUCAGGGAUGUUGUGGAGUGGGAGAUGUAAGGAUUUCAGGAUCUAAGUCUGAGGACCUCGGAUACGUAAGACACAGAUGGAGAAAAGACAGCAACCCAGGAGGCAGGAGAAAGCAGGCGAGCAUGGCAUCUUAAGAGGUCACUCACUCUGGGACAAGCCACUACCAUGCUCUGAGGGCACUCAAGAAGUCCUAUGGAGAAGCCCACGUGGUAAGAAGCCGAGCCUCCUGCCAAGAGUUCGUGAGUCAAGCCUUCAGAUGAUUGCAGCCUUGGCCAGCGUCUUGACAGCAACCUCAUGAGUGACUCUGAGCCCAGAUCACCCAGUUAAGCUACUCUUGAAUUCCUGACUCACAGAAAUUAUAAGAUCAUAAAUGUUUGCUGUUUUAAACCACUAAGUUUGGGGGUGAUUUGUUAUGCAGAAGUAGAUAAUGCACUGUUCAAAUGAAAAAGGGUACUCGUCCUCUACACUUAUACAUAGUAUAUAUUUGCACAUGGACUUUUACACACACACAUGCAUUAUUUUAUUCUAUUACUGGAUGAAGAAUUUGUGGACUUCCAUAAUUAAGAGUCUACUUGUGUGAAUAUAGAUAAGGUUCCCUUACCUGUGGAAGAAACUAUUACACAUGUAUAUAUCUUUCCCAUUUCCUUCUCAACACCUAAUCUUUGUGGAAUAGAAAGUGAAAUGUGUUCUGAGAAGGAAGGAAAAAGAACUCCUAAUACUACAGUAUUUCUUGAUAUGGUAACUGCUCAAAUUUGCCUUAGUUCUUUGUAUGUAGGAAUAGAGUGGAUUGAAUGGAGCAAACUCCUUGUAGUAUUUUACCAUUUUAUUUCUAAGGUGAUGAUGCAAAAGUGUCAGAAGCCAGAUUUUUCCAAUUAACUACUAUAACCUUUAUAUAUGCUUUAAAUGGAAUAGUUCAUAAUAACACCUGGAAUUGUAGGAGUGACAUAUGGAAUCCAGAAAGAUCUUUGAAAUGAAAUUAAGCAAUAGUCAAGGGGCAAAAGUCAGUAGGAAUGAGGGUUAAAGGAAGACUAAAUAAAUUCCUUCUCAAAUGGUAUCAGCAGAUUUGUUUGGUUAUCAGCUUGCACAUAUUUAACCCAACAUAUAAACAAGGGGGGGCUAAGUAAUAUCUUUGGAUAAUACUGGUAGGCAUAAAGCACAAGAAGUAGAAAAUAAAAAACAGAGAGAAAGGGAGUGGGGAAAGAAAAAAGGUUAAAAAAUAAAGAAAAUCCAUGGUACAGUAUGAGUAUUCACAUGCAUAUUCCUUGGAUUCUCAACCACAUUCCAAAUUUGUGGACAAUGCUGGUAACCUGGCCAAAUCUCAUUUUCCAAGCCUCUGUCUUGCUUUAGGCCUUCACUAAACAAAUAGCCCACUGUCAGCCUGCAAAUGAGUACUGACCUCCCCAGCUUGGGCCCACAUGAAAUUAGGCUCAGACUAGAGGAGAAAUUAAGACACUUCCUACUCCCCCACCCCCACCCCAGCAAAGGUCUCAAAACAUAGUUUCUUUUUCCUUUUUAUAUCAUUUUUGUUUAGUAAGCUUGUGACUCCGUUGUGGAUGGGAAGGCUGUAUGUGCUAGAGCAUAUGCCACGAAUAAGCUCUGUUGGACUGUGCAAUUUUUCUUAGCCCACAUUAUCAUAGUUGUCUUAGGUGAUAAAUCUGUAUGGUUGAAAUUUGGAGACCAGGUCCCUGGUGCUGCUGGUUCUAGGAUCAAACUGUAGAGUAUCAGAGAUAGUUCUCUAGGCUUGCAUAGUUUAAGCAUAAACUUGUCCUGUAUCGUGCUUAUUAAUCUUUGUAUCAUAAAUAUGACCAAAAGUCAAGACCAUGUCAUAAACUUAAUAGCACUAAUGAAGGAACAAAAUAUUUGAGAAUUCCUGAAAAAUCUAGCAUGCUUUCCGGUCAUAUGUAUGAGGGGAGAUGUUGAGAAAACCAAAUUUUUUCUAAGACAAGAGAAGGUGUGUGCAGACAACGUAUAUUUUAAAGGUAAAUUAUCUGGUUCCUUUUAGAAGAGUGAAGAACAAUUGUUAAACACUUCAUUGGCUUUCUUAUUAUCCUAUAUGUAGGCUACGUAAGCAUAUGCUUGAGUAAUCAUUUCCUGACUUGGAAUGAACCCAGAAGAGAUGGCUUGCCUAGAGGUCAGGAGGUUAGCCUUGGAGCCUUCUGGAUCCAGGGAGGAAGCUACCACAGAAUCUUCAUAAAGUGUUCUCUUAUUAAAAAUGUAACCUGUGGUGGUACCUGCUUUCCAACUAAGAUGUUACACGAUGUAUCUAAUGGUGCAAUUUAAACCCUCCAAGGGGAGAUUAAGCAGAUAUUUUUAAUCAAGGUGCCAUCCUCCUCACUCCACAAAUCCCACUGUUUGAAGCAGCCUAACUCAAGCCAUUUCUCACGUGAUUGGGUGGUUUUUCCAUUGUUAACGAAGCUAAAUUUUAACUGAGUUCUAUCUGACUUUUAUCUGAAUUUCAUCAGAACAUUACGGUCAUGGCUUUUUAAAAAUGUAUUUCCUUUGAUUAUCCUUCCCAUUUUAUAGCCCUUCCAAAUUGUAGAGAAAAUUGAGCUAGAAGUGUUUUCUUCCUCCAGGGCACAUUGCUGAUAUUUCUUGACUCAUCUCACUGAGACAUGACACAGACCCUCAGAAGACAGUGUUCUAGGAGUCGUUCAGCUGUGACCAAGAAUCUCCAAUUCUGUUUCUUAGUAGCUGAAACAGGAAACUUCGUUUUUUACCUCGACAUCUGCUCCUGUUUUCAUGAUUCAUGAAUAUAGUGGUGCAAAAACUUUUCAGUGGUUUCUUAGAUAAGACACCACAAGCAUAAGCAACAACAAAAGAAAAAAUAGAUAAACUGGACUUCAUCAAACCUUAAAACUUUUGUGUUCCAAAGAACAGCACCAAGAAAGUGAAAACACAACCCACAGAAUGGGAGAAGAUACUUGAAAUCAUAUAUCUGAUAAGGACUCAUAUGUAGAAUAAUGAACUCUUACACCUCAAUAAUAAAAAGACAACCCAACUAAAAAAAUGGACAAAAUCUCUGAAUAAAGGAAACGACGGAUGUUGGUGAGGAUGUGGAGAAAGGGGAACCCUCCUACACUGUUGGUGGGAAUGCAAGCUGGUGCAGCCACUCUGGAAAACAGUAUGGAGGUUCCUCAAAAAGUUGAAAAUUGAGC